RNAcentral lists this long non-coding RNA (358 nucleotides) under Capsicum annuum. RNAcentral describes it as "long non-coding RNA (CANN_LNC019632)". The record is from RNAcentral. Lineage: Eukaryota; Viridiplantae; Streptophyta; Magnoliopsida; Solanales; Solanaceae.
UCAGAGUUCAGUCCAUGAUGUAAGCACAUCCAGAUCCUCAGUUAUUAGUAUUAGAUGAGUCAGUGAUUCAGUAUCUCAGUGUCAGUAGUUGGUUUAGUAUCCAGUAAAGUAGUAUCCGAGUUUCAGUAUCCAGAGUUAUGAUGAUUGUGUUCAUGUUCUGUGCAUUCAUGUUUGUGUUCCCAUGCGGCAUUUUCAUGAUUAUUCAGUUUAGAUAUUAUGCAUGCAUGAACCCUUGCAUUAGCCUACCCUACCUACAUACUCGGUACAUUCUUAUAGUGACACAUUUGUGCUAUGGUGUUUUAUUUGACACCAUAGGUUCAGAGGCACAGGAUCUAGUGUAUCCUCAGCAGUUCAGUCC